RNAcentral lists this small RNA (754 nucleotides) under Pongo abelii (Sumatran orangutan). RNAcentral describes it as "processed transcript". The record is from RNAcentral. Lineage: Eukaryota; Metazoa; Chordata; Mammalia; Primates; Hominidae.
UUCAAGGGAUCGCCGUGAAGAAGUCAGUAUUUUUGCGAGAUGCGUCUCCACCCAAAGGUCCUAGGUACCUUUGAGCAAUUGUGAAAGCCAUGACCCCUCACCCCGAAAUGGCCUGUGCUCAUGCAUAUAGAAUCUUACAGUCACAGGGGUUAUGGAUCCUAUUUAGAGCCUAUAUUGAGAUCUUGAGGAGUCAGUAGUUCUUUAGAAUCCCUGUUCCAGGCCCAUUUGUUCCUGAGCAGUGUUAUGUGAACAGUGUCCUCUGUCUUCUGUGGCUCUGUGUCCUGGCUGAGAAAGGCAGCGCUGCCUUCAGAGAACUGGGCUCAUUGCUGGGAGUCAGAGCCUUGUCUGCUCACUGUGCCCCACGUGGCUUAGACGGUACCGGCUACAGCCCUUAUCCCGACUUCACAGGUGUGAGCGCAGAGGCUGAGUCACCUGCCCAAAGCAGCACAGUGACUCCAGAUGGGUGGGUGUUGUCAGAGAAUUGCUCAUAGGAAGCUACAGUUCCUUCUCCACAGUCUCCCCUUCUAGAUGCUGAUCUUUCCAGAUGACAGGCUUCCUAAAAACAAACCACUGACUGAACCGUGUGAACGGCACGUCAUCACCACAGUCACCUCUGAGCACAUCUGGCAGGGUCGCUGCUGUGGGGCCUUAUAUCCAGGUUCCCAGUGCCGGAAGCUUUCCUGUCCUGGGGGACCCCAUAAAGCCCCAGUCUCUCAGUAUUGCCUCAAAUGCUGCUCAUGGAAGAUCUAAAUCU